Ancylostoma duodenale is the source of this 45-nucleotide non-coding RNA. The record is from Rfam. Lineage: Eukaryota; Metazoa; Nematoda; Chromadorea; Rhabditida; Ancylostomatidae.
CCAACGGCCCUCUUUAGGGCCACAAAUAUUCACGAAUACUUAUUG